AACGAACGCUGGCGGCGCGUCUUACGCAUGCAAGUCGAACGGCAAGAGAGGAGCUUGCUUCUCUCCUAGAGUGGCGGACUGGUGAGGAACACGUGGGUAAUCUACCCUUAAGAUGGGGAUAGCUGCUAGAAAUAGCAGGUAAUACCGAAUACACUCGGCAUAUCACAAGAGGUGUUGAGGAAAGGAAGCUACGGCUUCGCUUGAGGAUGAGCUUGCGUCCCAUUAGCUAGUUGGUGGGGUAAAGGCCCACCAAGGCGACGAUGGGUAGCCGGCCUGAAAGGGGAAGCGGCCACAGUGGGACUGAGGUACGGCCCAGACUCCUACGGGAGGCAGCAGUGAGGAAUAUUGCACAAUGGGCGGAAGCCGGAUGCAGCAACGCAGCGUGCGGUAUGACGGCCUUCGGGGUGUAAACAGCUUUCGCCUGUGACGAAGCGUGAGUGACGGUAAUGGGUAAAGAAGCACCGGCUAACUACGUG
This 476-nucleotide ribosomal RNA is filed under the name uncultured bacterium. Its description in RNAcentral is "partial 16S ribosomal RNA". It matches the Rfam family "Bacterial small subunit ribosomal RNA", at positions 29 to 507 of the family's 1533-position model. The record is from RNAcentral.